RNAcentral lists this ribosomal RNA (496 nucleotides) under uncultured bacterium. RNAcentral describes it as "partial 16S ribosomal RNA". It matches the Rfam family "Bacterial small subunit ribosomal RNA", at positions 28 to 506 of the family's 1533-position model. The record is from RNAcentral.
GAUGAACGCUGGCGGCGUGCCUAAUACAUGCAAGUCGAGCGAACAGACGCGGAGUUUGUGCCUCUGACGAUUGGGGCGGGCGUGUGAAUCACAUGAGGAAAACCCACCUAUCAGACUGGGAUGACUUCGAGAAACCGGCGCUUAUAGCGUACAAUAUUUGCAACCGUAUGGAUCGAUAGGGAAGGAUUGCUUUUCUGGAACUGAUCGAUGGCUCCGUGCUGCUUUAUGUAGUUGUGAAGGUAACAGCUUACCAAGGCUACGAUGCGUAGCCGACCUGAGAGGGUGAUCGGCGACACUGAAAGUGAGACACGGUCCAGACUCCUACGGGAGGCAGCAGCAGGGAAGCGUCCGCACUGGGCGAAAGACUGACGGAGCAACGCAGCGUGAGUGAUGAAGGGCUGCGGAUCGUAAAACGCUGUUAUUAGGGAAGAACAAAUGUGUAAGUAACUAUGCACGUCUGGACGGUACCGAAUCAGAAAGCCACGGCAAACUACGU